UCCUGGCUCAGAACGAACGCUGGCGGCGUGGAUAAGACAUGCAAGUCGAACGGGACAAUAUUUGUAGCAAUACAGAUGUUGUUUAGUGGCGAACGGGUGCGUAACACGUGGGGAAUCUGCCGAGAAGUGGGGGAUAGCUCGCCGAAAGGCGAAUUAAUACCGCAUAUGAUCAGGGAAGACAUCUUUCCGACAUCAAAGCCGGGGCAACCUGGCGCUUCUUGAUGACCCCGCGGCCUAUCAGCUAGUUGGUGAGGUAACGGCCCACCAAGGCGAUGACGGGUAGCUGGUCUGAGAGGACGACCAGUCACACUGGAACUGAGACACGGUCCAGACACCUACGGGUGGCAGCAGUCGAGAAUUUUUCUCAAUGGGGGCAACCCUGAAGGAGCGACGCCGCGUGGAGGAUGAAGGCUUUCGGGUUGUAAACUCCUGUCAUUUGAGAACAAUGGCUACGCGUUAACUGCGCGGAGCUUGAUAGUAUCAGAAGAGGAAGGGACGGCUAACUCUGUGCCAGCAGCCGCGGUAAUACAGAGGUCCCGAGCGUUGUUCGGAUUCAUUGGGCGUAAAGGGUGCGUAGGUGGCGCCGUAAGUGGGGUGUGAAAUCCCGGGGCUUAACUCCGGAACUGCAUUCCAUACUGCGGUGCUUGAGGACUGGAGAGGAG
RNAcentral lists this ribosomal RNA (662 nucleotides) under uncultured soil bacterium. Its description in RNAcentral is "bacterial SSU rRNA". It matches the Rfam family "Bacterial small subunit ribosomal RNA", at positions 17 to 659 of the family's 1533-position model. The record is from RNAcentral.